AGAGUUUGAUCCUGGCUCAGGAUGAACGCUAGCGGCAGGCUUAACACAUGCAAGUCGAGGGGCAGCACGGUGUAGCAAUACAUUGGUGGCGACCGGCGCACGGGUGCGUAACGCGUAUACAAUUUGCCUUAUACUGGGAGAUAGCCCGGAGAAAUUCGGAUUAAUAUCCCAUAAUAAUUUUGGUCCGCAUGGAUUGAUUUUUAAAGCUACGGCGGUAUAAGAUGAGUAUGCGUCUGAUUAGCUAGUUGGUAAGGUAACGGCUUACCAAGGCAACGAUCAGUAGGGGGCCUGAGAGGGUUAUCCCCCCACACUGGAACUGAGACACGGUCCAGACUCCUACGGGAGGCAGCAGUGAGGAAUAUUGGUCAAUGGAGGCAACUCUGAACCAGCCAUGCCGCGUGUAGGAAGAAGGCCCUAUGGGUUGUAAACUACUUUUAUUGGGGAAGAAACCCUCUUACGUGUAAGAGGCUGACGGUACCCAAGGAAUAAGGACCGGCUAACUCCGUG
This 507-nucleotide ribosomal RNA is filed under the name uncultured bacterium. RNAcentral describes it as "bacterial SSU rRNA". It matches the Rfam family "Bacterial small subunit ribosomal RNA", at positions 8 to 507 of the family's 1533-position model. The record is from RNAcentral.